Molecule: ribosomal RNA, 253 nt
Filed under: uncultured bacterium
Lineage: Bacteria
Description: partial 16S ribosomal RNA
Rfam family: Bacterial small subunit ribosomal RNA
Source: RNAcentral
UACAGAGGGUGCAAGCGUUGUUCGGAAUUAUUGGGCGUAAAGCGCGUGUAGGCGGCUUUGCAAGUCGGGUGUGAAAGCCCUCGGCUCAACCGAGGAAGUGCGCCCGAAACUGCAGAGCUUGAGUACCGGAGAGGAUGGCGGAAUUCCCCAAGUAGAGGUGAAAUUCGUAGAUAUGGGGAGGAACACCGGUGGCGAAGGCGGCCCCCUGGUUGGAUACUGACGCUGAUACGCGAAAGCGUGGGGAGCAAACAGG